AGCUCCAUCUGGAACGGAUCGAGUUGUCCUUCAUUUCUUCAGACUAACAGAAUUAAAUUCUCUGGGAGGGAAGCUUCAUGUAUUUGAGGAAGUGCUAAGCAUCAGGAGGUUAUUUAGUGAGUGUUGAAGGCAUAAUUGGGGUAUCAUUGGAAGCAGAGGAGUGUGAAU
This 168-nucleotide long non-coding RNA is filed under the name Calidris pugnax (ruff). RNAcentral's name for it is "lncRNA (ENSCPUG00000010266.1)". The record is from RNAcentral. Lineage: Eukaryota; Metazoa; Chordata; Aves; Charadriiformes; Scolopacidae.